AGGAGGUAGCCAACACUGUUUAUAUAUAUAUAUAUAUAUAUAUAUAUAUAUAUAUAUAUAUAUAUAAAUAUAUUAUUUUAAUUGGGGUAGCCCCCAAAAUAUUGGGACAAUGUGCUCCCCAACGAGAAGACGAUGACGCAUUCGUAUGUCAAUCCAUAUCAACUUUCGAUGCCAUUGACUGCGCCUACCAUGGUGACCACGGGUAACGGAGAAUCAGGGUUCGAUUCUGUACAGAGACACGGACAAACGGCUACCACAUGCAAGGAAGGCAGCAGGCGCACAAAUGACCCACUCCCGACGCGGGAAGGUAGUGA
Non-coding RNA from Pelobates cultripes (western spadefoot toad), 314 nucleotides. NCBI's taxonomy places the organism in Eukaryota, Metazoa, Chordata, Amphibia, Anura, Pelobatidae. The record is from the annotation of a GenBank genome assembly.